This 749-nucleotide long non-coding RNA is filed under the name Homo sapiens (human). RNAcentral describes it as "HSALNT0342223". Lineage: Eukaryota; Metazoa; Chordata; Mammalia; Primates; Hominidae. The record is from RNAcentral.
UUAGGCAGGCUGCAGUGGAGGAGGGUACGCCGUUCCAUUGGCGUGGUACUGUCGGCGGCCCUUCAGAGGAGAUGCUGCCCCACGGAACGCCUGGCAAGUGCUGGCGAAGCGGCAUGGGCGUCCCACUCCGUUCCUCAACCAAUUUCCUCACAAUCGCGAGCCGAAGUGUGGCGCUUUGGCAGUUUCGCAAGGUCUUUUGUCAGGAGAUGAGUUACUGAGGAUUGGGGGUCUUUGGAGCUCUUGGACCUGAAGAACGAUUAAGUUUUUCUCCCUUCAGAGAGCCAAGAGAUGGGGUCUUGCUGUGUUGCCCAGGGUGGAGUGCAGUGGCUAUUCACAGGUGUGAUCAUAGCUACUAUAGCCUCAAACCCUGGGUUCAAGUGAGUCCUUUGAACUAGAACAUUGGCCUUUUCUGGUUCUGCAGAAGCUUCCAGCCUUCAGAUUUGAACUGGGACACUGGCUCUGCAGAUUUUGGACUUGCCAGCCUUCAUAAUUGUAACCUACACUCCUGUCAUUUGUGGAAUGAUUGCUGGAGCCAGAGGCCAGGAAGAAGUUCAUGAGCCUGAGAGAAAAAGCAAGGAUUUCCAGUUCUACCCUGUGAGGAAAACAAGGCUUGGAGUGGGUAAGUUGCCAAGUUUGUAUGGCAGAGCCCAGCCCUGACUCCAGGGGAUGCUGUUCUCACCCCAUCUCGUGGCCACCAUCCCUGGACUUUCCCUGCAGGUGGGUCCUGUAGCUGUGUGUGCCCAGCCUGC